Molecule: ribosomal RNA, 253 nt
Filed under: uncultured bacterium
Lineage: Bacteria
Description: partial 16S ribosomal RNA
Rfam family: Archaeal small subunit ribosomal RNA
Source: RNAcentral
UACCAGCACCCCGAGUGGUCGGGACGAUUAUUGGGCCUAAAGCAUCCGUAGCCGGUUCUACAAGUCUUCCGUUAAAUCCACCUGCUCAACAGAUGGGCUGCGGAGGAUACUAUAGAGCUAGGAGGCGGGAGAGGCAAGCGGUACUUAGUGGGUAGGGGUAAAAUCCGUUGAUCCAUUGAAGACCACCAGUGGCGAAGGCGGCUUGCCAGAACGCACUCGACGGUGAGGGAUGAAAGCUGGGGGAGCGAACGGG